This 1545-nucleotide long non-coding RNA is filed under the name Mytilus galloprovincialis (Mediterranean mussel). The record is from RNAcentral. Lineage: Eukaryota; Metazoa; Mollusca; Bivalvia; Mytilida; Mytilidae.
CUCUGGGCAUAUACAAUUUAUUUAGUAUUUUGAAUGGACUCUUGUUAAUAGUACACAUACUAAAUUAAACUACAUUAAAACCUGUUUUACAACUAAAGGCUGAAUCAGAGACAGACAACUGAACAUACAAUCCCAAACACUGUCAUAGGUAUGGUAUAGUAAAAAAUAUUUUACAAGUAUUAUGAACAUGGACCAUUCACUAUCAUAAGUAUAUAUAGAUGUGCUGAACACAUAAGUAUCAAGAAAAUAAUAGUUAAGUUAAAGAACUAGAGGCUCUCAAGAGCCUGUGUGGCUCACCUUGGUCUAUGUGCAUACUAAACAAUGGACACAGAUAAAUUCAUGACAAAAUUGUGUUUUGGUGAUCAUGGUUUUGUAGAUCUUACUUUACUGAACAUUCUUGUUGCUACAAUUAUCUCUAUCUAUAAUGAACAUGGCCCAGUAAUUACAAUGGAAAAUAUUUUCUAAAAAUUUAUGAAAAUUGUUAAAAAUGACUAUAAAGGGCAAUAACUCCGGGGUCAAUUGACAAUUUUGGUCAUAUUGACUUAUUUGUAGAUAUAAUUUUGCUGAACAUUAUUGCUGUUUACAGUUUAUCUUUAUAAUCUAUAAUAAUAUUCUAAACAAUAACCAAAAUCUGCAAAAUUUCCUUAAAAUUACUAAUUCGGGGGCAGCAACCCAACGACAGGUUGUCCGAUUUGUCUGAAAAUUUCAGGGCAGAUAGUUCUUUACCCAACAAACAAGUUUACCCCCAUAUCAGAUUUGCUCUAAAUUCUUUAAUUUCAGAGAUAUAAACCAAAAUCUACAUUUACCCCUAUGUACUAUUUUUAGCCAUGGUGGCCAUCUUGGUUGGUUGGCAGGGUCACCAGACACAUUUUAAAAACUAGAUACCAAUGAUGAUUGUGGCCAAGUUUGGUUAAAUUUGGCCCAGUAGUUUCAGGAGAAGAUAUUUUUAAAAGAUUACUAAAAUUUUAGAAAAAUGGUUAAAAAUUGACUAUAAAGGGCAAUAACUACUUAAAAGGGGUAAACUGACAAUUUUGGUCGUGUUGACUUAUUUGUAGAUCUUACUUUGCUGAACAUUAUUGUUGUUUACAGUUUAUCUCUAUCUAUAAUAAUAUUCAAGAUAAUAACCAAACCAGAUGCUCUGCAGGGCGUAGCUUUAUACACCGCAGAGGUUGAACCUGAACGGUUGGGGCAAGUAUGGACACAACAUUCAAGCUGGAUUCAGCUCUAAAUUUGGAUUGUGAUUAAAUAGUUGACACAGCAUAGGUUUCUGACACAGAAUGAAUGUGUUCUAAUGAACUUAAAAAUUUUUGUUUUCUCUUAGAGCAAAUUCACUAUGCUGUUGAAUAUUAAUCCUCUCAAAAAAAUGUUUGAAGAAAUUUUCUUUUUUUAUUUAUGAAAUUUCAAAUGAGAAAAAUUGAACCCAAUUUUUUUAAUCACAUCCCCCUUUCCCUUAUUCCAAAACUAAUCUCAAUUAAAAUUUCUAAUGGAGUUUGCAACAAUAACUACUCAUUUAAAUACAUCAUAAAAUAUUAAGAUGUAAAAAAA